CUUGUGAAUAAAUAUAAGUAGGGUUGAGACUGUUUUUCAAAGCUACCCUGAAGUAUUGGAGGCAUUUUUUUUUGUCCCUAAACUAGACAGAAAUUAUGCAUCCAUGAUCUAGAAGAAAUCUCAGCUUGUAUUGUUUCUUAGAGCUGUAAAACUCUUCAAGAAGAAUCUGCAUCACCACAGAGUUCCUUGGGUUCUGCCAGUAUUAAAAAUGUCUGCAGUGGGCACCUCCAGUAGGUAUACACAUCUAAUUACAAAAGACUUAUUAAUUCUGCAGUAGACUGGCAUGGUUCUUGUAGAGGUUCCCUUUGUUUCACAAUAGAAGAUUUAUUCUAAAAAAAAACCAACAUUGAAGUCAGUGCGGAUAUUGAUGUCAUUGGGGAUUUUGUCCCAGGCGUGUACUAUACUCUUGCAUUUGAAUGGGGAAACACAGCAGUUCAUUGUGAUAGGAAGGUUUGGGUGUUUGUUUGCUUUCCUUUACUGGCACCAUGCCUGUUGUGCAGAUUCAAAGUUACCAGAGCAGUGACGCAGCCAGGUCCUGGGAUGCAUAUUGGUUUUUGAAGCUUAGAGCUCAGUGACUAUUUCUGGAGAAUUUUAGUUAUAUGCUGAAGUAAGUAUUUCAUCAUUUUGAGGUUGAUGUAUCUUGUCUUUUAUGAGAUCCAUGACCUGUUCAGGAAGGCAGUGGACUGGCCAUCUCUGCUUCCUCAAUACUAUGUUGUUAACAUAACAUCGUUACCUAAUGAGCUAACUAUUGGUGUUUUUCUUCUUUUUUUCUGGAUGCUGUGUUUAUGCCAAAAUAUGAGCCAUCUUUUUCAUUUCUAGUCAUUAAGUAACAAUGAUGCAGUAAGGACAAACCUGCUGUUUCCUAUUGCUUCUGUGUUUGUAUUUUGUGCCUGACUCUUGACUUAAGAAGCCACCCUUGUCUAUGUAUCAUCACCUUCAUUAGAUUUUCACAAUUCAUUUCACUUUGGCAUCUACAUGUUCUUGCAGUUUACUUUAGGUGUUAUGUAAUCUACGUUAUCAUCGUGUCUGGGUUCUUGUGCAGUUGCUUUGGGGUUCCAUCUCUAGAGGGGAAUUUUUGAAUUGCCCAAAGUAUUGUUUUGAUCUUUGGAAAACAUUAAAACUCUUACUUUCACACAUUAUACCUCCUAUGCAGAAAAUCUGUACAUCACUAAAAUUCCACUCACCUCCUCAUGUAAGUGCUAAAUUUAGAAGUAAAUAUUACUCAGAUCUCUUUUGUAGAACUGUCUGUGGGGAUGAAUUUCAUUAAUUGUAUUUUGAUGAAUACAUUCUUUCACAUUCAGCUCUAACCUUCCCUCAAAUCUUAACGUAAUAGAAAGCAACAUUACAAUACAGGAACACACCUCUAUGUACAAAUACAAGCAUUGUCAUAUGUUUUCAGGUGUUUUCUGUGUUCUCACAGAGCUCUCUUGAGCACAGGAAGAAAUGCUUCUAAUGAUGUUCAGCAGUACAGUCACUAUAAAAUAAGCUUUUUUUUCCAGUGACAUUACCGCCAUACUGCACAGCCAUCAUCACAUGGUGGAUGGUAACUCAUUAGUGAGGAACCAUUCCUCUAUAGGAGAAGCACCCUAAGGGGUUUCAUUUAGGUAUUUCUGCGCCUUCUGCAUAACAGCUGCCAUUUCUGGAAUAACUUUUCCAACAGGCUUCAACAUAUCAGCCAUGUAGGAAUAGGUAUCUUUCUCUCCUGAAUAACCUGGGCAGGUGUUACAAGUCUUUAAGCCUCAGAUUGCUGGUAAGUGAACUUCAACGUACCAGCCAGUUUUAGAAGAGCAAAUGUUUAUUACGUACAGGGAAUAUGGUUCUGUAAAUAUAUAUGCACUAAGAAAGUGUGUUAUUAAUUUACUGAUUCUGCAUAUCCAAAAUACAUAGUUCAGGCAGUAGACCUGCAAGGAAAAUGUCCCAAAUUGUAAAUACAGGGACACCUGCUGCUGCCCUUACACUGCAGUUACCCCUGUGAGUAACCCAUUACCUGUCAGUUUUUAAAACUGCUUAUCUACAUCUCACCCAUUGUGACUAAUCCUUGUAGAGGACAGGCCAGUAAAACUUGCUAGCAACAGUGGUUUCCUGACUCAUUUCUUCAGGGACUUUCUUUUCAAGAUAUUUUUCUUAAACAGGACAAGUGGUUUCAGAGAGUGGGCAAAAAAGGCUGUACCUUACCUUGUUGAUCAUGGAGAAAUUUGUACCUUAGAAAGACUUCAUGGGCGUGGAACCGAUAUUCAGAUUUGGAAAGAAUAUUCCCUAAGAAAGAAGAGAGAAGAGGAUCCAGGACAUUUAUUCUUUUCCUUUAAAAACUGCUGAAAUACGACUAAAUAAAUUAUUUCUGAUUCUCAAAAUAAA
Molecule: long non-coding RNA, 2355 nt
Organism: Pezoporus flaviventris
Lineage: Eukaryota; Metazoa; Chordata; Aves; Psittaciformes; Psittacidae
Exons: 2
Source: RefSeq, a predicted model, not a curated record